ACCCGCACAAGCAGCGGAGCGUGUGGUUUAAUUCGAUGCUACACGAAGAACCUUACCAGGGUUUGACAUGCUAGUGGUAGGAAACCGAAAGGUGACCGACCCUUCGGGAGCUAGCACAGGUGCUGCAUGGCUGUCGUCAGCUCGUGUCGUGAGAUGUUCGGUUAAGUCCGCUAACGAGCGCAACCCUUACUGUGUGUUAUAUGUGUCACACGGGACCGCCGGUCUUAAGCCGGAGGAAGGUGGGAUGACGUCAAGUCAGCAUGGCCUUUAUAUCCUGGGCUACACACACGCUACAAUGGCCAACACAAUAGGUUGCUAAGCCGCGAGGUGGAGCCAAUCCAUAAAGUUGGUCUCAGUUCAGAUUGUAGGCUGCAACCCGCCUGCAUGAAGAUGGAGUUGCUAGUAACCGCAGGUCAGCUAUACUGCGGUGAAUACGUUCCCGGGGCUU
RNAcentral lists this ribosomal RNA (448 nucleotides) under uncultured Leptolinea sp. RNAcentral's name for it is "bacterial SSU rRNA". It matches the Rfam family "Bacterial small subunit ribosomal RNA", at positions 919 to 1382 of the family's 1533-position model. Lineage: Bacteria; Bacillati; Chloroflexota; Anaerolineae; Anaerolineales; Anaerolineaceae. The record is from RNAcentral.